GGGUGAGUAACGCGUGAGGAACCUGCCUCAAAGAGGGGGACAACAGUUGGAAACGACUGCUAACACCGCAUAAGCCCACGGUGCCGCAUGGCACAGAGGGAAAAGGAGCAAUCCGCUUUGAGAUGGCCUCGCGUCCGAUUAGCUAGUUGGUGAGGUAAUGGCCCACCAAGGCGACGAUCGGUAGCCGGACUGAGAGGUUGAACGGCCACAUUGGGACUGAGACACGGCCCAGACUCCUACGGGAGGCAGCAGUGGGGAAUAUUGCACAAUGGGGGAAACCCUGAUGCAGCGACGCCGCGUGGAGGAAGAAGGUCUUCGGAUUGUAAACUCCUGUUGUUGGGGAAGAUAAUGACGGUACCCAACAAGGAAGUGACGGCUAACUACGUGCCAGCAGCCGCGGUAAAACGUAGGUCACAAGCGUUGUCCGGAAUUACUGGGUGUAAAGGGAGCGCAGGCGGGAAGACAAGUUGGAAGUGAAAUCUAUGGGCUCAACCCAUAAACUGCUUUCAAAACUGUUUUUCUUGAGUAGUGCAGAGGUAGGCGGAAUUCCCGGUGUAGCGGUGGAAUGCGUAGAUAUCGGGAGGAACACCAGUGGCGAAGGCGGCCUACUGGGCACCAACUGACGCUGAGGCUCGAAAGUGUGGGUAGCAAACAGGAUUAGAUACCCUGGUAGUCCACACCGUAAACGAUGAUUACUAGGUGUUGGAGGAUU
Molecule: ribosomal RNA, 712 nt
Filed under: uncultured bacterium
Lineage: Bacteria
Description: bacterial SSU rRNA
Rfam family: Bacterial small subunit ribosomal RNA
Source: RNAcentral